Daucus carota subsp. sativus is the source of this 676-nucleotide long non-coding RNA. RefSeq lists it as uncharacterized. The record is from RefSeq and is a predicted model, not a curated record. NCBI's taxonomy places the organism in Eukaryota, Viridiplantae, Streptophyta, Magnoliopsida, Apiales, Apiaceae. The transcript is spliced from 2 exons.
UUAUUCUGGAGCAUUGUAUACAUAAGCCCAGUUCAAGUAUUGAAGGUUAACUAAAAGCAGUACUUGCUCUAACAUAAUGGAGACCCAAAUAGUCGUCCCUGAUCAUAUGGAAAGAAGAUUGGCAGAAAGAGAACGACCAAUUAAAGUUGAAUUCGAACCAGAAAGCUAUGUCGUUGCAGCAAUGGAUGAUAUCUUCAAUCUCAAUUCAGUGCUGACCUUUGCUGUCUUUGUUGGAAUAUCUCAGGCUUCACCAGGCAGCCGCAGCCUGGAGAAUCGCGAUGAGUGUAACGCAGGUCCAAAAAUGGCCAAAAUGCUGAUUGUGUACGAAGUUUUGGCCUUCUCUUUUUUCCUUUUCUCAAGCCUUUUCGCAAAAUUAGUUAAGCUCCUCUUAAGCUUGAACGGUAAAAAAUUUCAAAUCAUUAAAGGUCGGGAUUUCAAUUUCUUACACUAUAUGUGGCACUUGACAGCAAUGACGUCUGUGAUUGGAAUUGUUCUGCUUAUGCUUUCGGUAGUGAAUUUAGUUCAAAUUCAAAUAGGAUUGUAUUCUUGUGGGAGUAGUGAAGCAAGGAUAGCCAUUUGGGGUCUCUGCACAGUUGUUGGCACUGCUUUAAUAACUUAUGUGCUGUCUUUGUCUAUAGGUAUAUAUGGAAUGUUGAUAGAAAAAACUUGAAGUGCU